GCAGUCGAACGGUGAAGCCCUUCGGGGUGGAUCAGUGGCGAACGGGUGAGUAACACGUGGGCAAUCUGCCCUGCACUCUGGGACAAGCCCUGGAAACGGGGUCUAAUACCGGAUAUGACCUUCCUCCGCAUGGGGGUUGGUGUAAAGCUCCGGCGGUGCAGGAUGAGCCCGCGGCCUAUCAGCUUGUUGGUGGGGUAAUGGCCUACCAAGGCGACGACGGGUAGCCGGCCUGAGAGGGCGACCGGCCACACUGGGACUGAGACACGGCCCAGACUCCUACGGGAGGCAGCAGUGGGGAAUAUUGCACAAUGGGCGAAAGCCUGAUGCAGCGACGCCGCGUGAGGGAUGACGGCCUUCGGGUUGUAAACCUCUUUCAGCAGGGAAGAAGCGCAAGUGACGGUACCUGCAGAAGAAGCACCGGCUAACUACGUGCCAGCAGCCGCGGUAAUACGUAGGGUGCGAGCGUUGUCCGGAAUUAUUGGGCGUAAAGAGCUCG
This 496-nucleotide ribosomal RNA is filed under the name Streptomyces sp. Act10. Its description in RNAcentral is "bacterial SSU rRNA". It matches the Rfam family "Bacterial small subunit ribosomal RNA", at positions 57 to 571 of the family's 1533-position model. Lineage: Bacteria; Bacillati; Actinomycetota; Actinomycetes; Kitasatosporales; Streptomycetaceae. The record is from RNAcentral.